GAUCCAUUCCUAAAUCGACCAAAGAUCUCCUUGCACCAAUAGCUUUAGGCCUGCUAGACCUCAAUAUAUUCCUCUUCUUUUAAUUCCAAACCCUAAAUCGAGCAGUAAUCGUCUUAAGUACGUUAGCAGAAAUGAAUACCCGUUUUUACUUAGUUAACCUAAUAUCAGAAGAUGAUUGAGAUACAAAUACUUAAAAGGUUCAGAAUAUUGGUUACAUAGUAGAGCAUGUGGGGGGAAUGGGUUCAUUUGGAGUUGUCUUCCAGAGAAACUGGAGAAAUAGUUGCAAUCAAGAAGGUUCGUCAAGACAAGCGUUAUAAGAAUCGGGAGCUGCAAAUUAUGCAAAUGUUGGAUCACCCAAACAUCGUAGCUCUAAAGCAUAAUUUCUUUUCGAUCACAGGCAAGGAAGAGCCAUACCUAAAUAUAGUACUUGAGUUCGUACCAAACACUGUUUAUGGUGUUGCAAAGCACUACAGUCGGGUGAACCAGCGCAUGCCACUAAUAUACGUGAACCUCCAUACUUAUCAGAUCUGCAGAUCACUUUCUUACAUUCUUAACUGUUUUGGUAUAUGUCACCAUGUUAUUAAGUCGUAGAAUCUGUUGGUAACAGUCGCCUUGUUUACUCUAAUUAACAAGUCCUCGUUUACAUACUUCAUUUACAAGUUCUUCGUACACUUUAAUAAUCUUAUACCGUUACGAUCCUUUCUUAUUUGCCUUUGCAUCACAUCCCCAUGUAUAAAACCUCUAGAGAAUCAAAAUGUCAAAAGGAAGAAGUACCACGUAUUCAAGGUUGGGUGUUCAACAAAAAGUUGUUAAACUACUUACACCUUUCUCAGUAUCGUGGUGAAUAGACAACCCCAUCAGCUCCAUGGAUAUCUACCAUACCGCCACUCGAGAGCAGUCUUAUUCUGAAAGCUCUAACAUAGAAAGGGUAACAGUAACAUGUAUAUGGAGCGAGGGGUUUUUCUAUUGGAACAGUAAAAUGACACACCAAACCAACAAGCUGCAAUCUAAGAAAUUGGUAGAAGAGAAGGUUGACACAGUGGAUGAAGGACAACCGAAGACGGUUUCGUCUGAGGCGCCCGUUAUUUCUUUUCAGUUGAUUCUUGACAGUUGCCAUUUGGCCAUGAAUCAUAAUUGCCAAUGUUUCGUACAGAUUUCCAUUAUUUUUUUCAGGUAGUUUUGGCCAAUAAACAUCUUUUGGAAAAUCUGCUCAAAAAGUUGUUAAAGGCACCUGGAGAAAGUGAUUUUGGCACCCGCGUUUUGGACACAGGCUACCCCAGGGCACCCAAAGUCAGAUGCUAAAGGCACCCUACUCUGGAUAGGGGGCGCCCUCUCUCCUCUCAAAUUUCAAAUAAAGAAAAAAAAGGCGGGAAAACAUGAGCAUCCGUGAACAAAUUUUGGAUUUGAAUUUUUGAGUUGUUUUAAAGAGAUUCAAUCACGGAUAUCGGCUUGGUUUGGCCUGUUUGAGCAUAACAGGGCUGGUAUGGGUGUUGUAAUCAACCAGAAUUGGCUGCAUGAUCGUGUGGAGAAAAACAGAGAAGAAAAUAUCCCGGACAUGAUGAUUUGCUUCUGUGUGUACUCGUUCUGUGGAUUGAUAUAAUCCUGUUUCUGUUAAACAGGGAAGGUAUGAGCUGUAGAAUCGAGAAAACAGGGAUAGGAACCGAGUUUCUACAAAACAGGGAGAUGGUUACACUCGGGUUCUGUGGAUUGACUUGAGAUGAUUUGGGAGAAGAUAUGGUGUGAGAGAAGAUAUGGUGUUGUAUAUUGAGUGUAUCUGGUCCUGUUUCAGUAUCGAGAGGGUUUGGAAAGUUUUGAUAACUCAAAACCGCGUGGAGAAGAGUCAGGGAGAAGAAAUAGACCGAAACUUUUGGUAAAAGAAAACCAAGUUAUUCUCGGAUUUUUGGGAUAUCGGGAGUGAUUCUCGUGCUUGUGGUGUAUAAAUAGGCAUCUGGGAGGUCAAGAAAAGGAGCACGUACACUUGGAGGAGUUUAGUUGAGAGUUUGGAGAGAUUUGGGAAGCUGCAGAGCUGAGAGAAAGAAUCACGGAGAAGUUUCUUUGCCGGUGCAGGGAAGAAGAAGACGAAGAACAAAAUCAGUCGAAGAAAGUCGUUGGAAACUGCCGCAUAUACUAGAGUGUUCAACACCUUGCUAGCAACUGCCGAAUAGUGAUUCCUGUUUUAUAUCAUUUUCUUGUUUUUCUCUCCAUUAUAAACACCCUUUGAGCAUCAAUGAAUUAUUUUGAUCUCUAUUUUAUAAAUUUAUGUAAUAUUUUUAUAUGAUUAA
Molecule: RNA transcript, 2282 nt
Organism: Papaver somniferum (opium poppy)
Lineage: Eukaryota; Viridiplantae; Streptophyta; Magnoliopsida; Ranunculales; Papaveraceae
Gene name: shaggy-related protein kinase kappa-like
Exons: 8
Source: RefSeq, a predicted model, not a curated record